RNAcentral lists this ribosomal RNA (908 nucleotides) under Pediococcus pentosaceus. RNAcentral's name for it is "bacterial SSU rRNA". It matches the Rfam family "Bacterial small subunit ribosomal RNA", at positions 50 to 913 of the family's 1533-position model. The record is from RNAcentral. Lineage: Bacteria; Bacillati; Bacillota; Bacilli; Lactobacillales; Lactobacillaceae.
UAUACAUGCAGUCGAACGAACUUCCGUUAAUUGAUUAUGACGUACUUGUACUGAUUGAGAUUUUAACACGAAGUGAGUGGCGAACGGGUGAGUAACACGUGGGUAACCUGCCCAGAAGUAGGGGAUAACACCUGGAAACAGAUGCUAAUACCGUAUAACAGAGAAAACCGCAUGGUUUUCUUUUAAAAGAUGGCUCUGCUAUCACUUCUGGAUGGACCCGCGGCGUAUUAGCUAGUUGGUGAGGUAAAGGCUCACCAAGGCAGUGAUACGUAGCCGACCUGAGAGGGUAAUCGGCCACAUUGGGACUGAGACACGGCCCAGACUCCUACGGGAGGCAGCAGUAGGGAAUCUUCCACAAUGGACGCAAGUCUGAUGGAGCAACGCCGCGUGAGUGAAGAAGGGUUUCGGCUCGUAAAGCUCUGUUGUUAAAGAAGAACGUGGGUAAGAGUAACUGUUUACCCAGUGACGGUAUUUAACCAGAAAGCCACGGCUAACUACGUGCCAGCAGCCGCGGUAAUACGUAGGUGGCAAGCGUUAUCCGGAUUUAUUGGGCGUAAAGCGAGCGCAGGCGGUCUUUUAAGUCUAAUGUGAAAGCCUUCGGCUCAACCGAAGAAGUGCAUUGGAAACUGGGAGACUUGAGUGCAGAAGAGGACAGUGGAACUCCAUGUGUAGCGGUGAAAUGCGUAGAUAUAUGGAAGAACACCAGUGGCGAAGGCGGCUGUCUGGUCUGCAACUGACGCUGAGGCUCGAAAGCAUGGGUAGCGAACAGGAUUAGAUACCCUGGUAGUCCAUGCCGUAAACGAUGAUUACUAAGUGUUGGAGGGUUUCCGCCCUUCAGUGCUGCAGCUAACGCAUUAAGUAAUCCGCCUGGGGAGUACGACCGCAAGGUUGAAACUCAAAAGAAUUGA